RNAcentral lists this ribosomal RNA (465 nucleotides) under Vreelandella stevensii. Its description in RNAcentral is "partial 16S ribosomal RNA". It matches the Rfam family "Bacterial small subunit ribosomal RNA", at positions 338 to 795 of the family's 1533-position model. The record is from RNAcentral. Lineage: Bacteria; Pseudomonadati; Pseudomonadota; Gammaproteobacteria; Oceanospirillales; Halomonadaceae.
CCUACGGGCGGCAGCAGUGGGGAAUAUUGGACAAUGGGGGGAACCCUGAUCCAGCCAUGCCGCGUGUGUGAAGAAGGCCCUCGGGUUGUAAAGCACUAUCAGUGAGGAAGAACGCCUGGUGGUUAAUACCCAUCAGGAAAGACAUCACUCACAGAAGAAGCACCGGCUAACUCCGUGCCAGCAGCCGCGGUAAUACGGAGGGUGCGAGCGUUAAUCGGAAUUACUGGGCGUAAAGCGCGCGUAGGUGGCUUGAUAAGCCGGUUGUGAAAGCCCCGGGCUCAACCUGGGAACGGCAUCCGGAACUGUCAAGCUAGAGUGCAGGAGAGGAAGGUAGAAUUCCCGGUGUAGCGGUGAAAUGCGUAGAGAUCGGGAGGAAUACCAGUGGCGAAGGCGGCCUUCUGGACUGACACUGACACUGAGGUGCGAAAGCGUGGGUAGCAAACAGGAUUAGAUACCCGAGUAGUC